This 501-nucleotide ribosomal RNA is filed under the name uncultured Glomeromycotina. RNAcentral's name for it is "partial small subunit ribosomal RNA". It matches the Rfam family "Eukaryotic small subunit ribosomal RNA", at positions 591 to 1092 of the family's 1831-position model. The record is from RNAcentral. Lineage: Eukaryota; Fungi; Glomeromycota.
CCAAUAGCGUAUAUUAAAGUUGUUGCAGUUAAAAAGCUCGUAGUUGAAUUUCGGGAUCAGUAGGGUUGGUCAUGCCUCUGGUAUGCACUGGUCUCACUGGUUCCUCCUUCCUGAUGAACCGUAAUGCCAUUAAUUUGGUGUUGCGGGGAAACUGGAUUGUUACUUUGAAAAAUUUAGAGUGUUUAAAGAAGGCUAACGCUUGAAUACAUUAGCAUGGAAUAAUGAUAUAGGACGUUCGAUCCUAUUUUGUUGGUUUCUAGGAUUGACGUAAUGAUUAAUAGGGAUAGUUGGGGGCAUUAGUAUUCAAUUGUCAGAGGUGAAAUUCUUGGAUUUAUUGAAGACUAACUACUGCGAAAGCAUUUGCCAAGGAUGUUUUCAUUAAUCAAGAACGAAAGUUAGGGGAUCGAAGACGAUCAGAUACCGUCGUAGUCUUAACCAUAAACUAUGCCGACUAGGGAUCGGAUGAUGUUAAUUUUUUAAUGACUCAUUCGGCGCCUUACG